RNAcentral lists this ribosomal RNA (231 nucleotides) under uncultured Methanolinea sp. Its description in RNAcentral is "partial 16S ribosomal RNA". It matches the Rfam family "Archaeal small subunit ribosomal RNA", at positions 1110 to 1338 of the family's 1478-position model. Lineage: Archaea; Methanobacteriati; Methanobacteriota; Methanomicrobia; Methanomicrobiales; Methanoregulaceae. The record is from RNAcentral.
UCUGCUAAAGAGGAGGAAGGAAUGGGCAACGGUAGGUCAGCAUUGCCCCGAAUUAUCCGGGCUACACGCGGGCUACAAUGGUCAGGACAAUGGGUAUCGACACCGAGAGGUGGAGGCAAUCUCCUAAACCUGUCCUUAGUUCGGAUUGUGGGCUGCAACUCGCCCACAUGAAGCUGGAAUCCGUAGUAAUCGCGUUUCAAAAUAGCGCGGUGAAUAUGUCCCUGGCUCCUU